This 1083-nucleotide long non-coding RNA is filed under the name Homo sapiens (human). RNAcentral describes it as "HSALNT0116051". The record is from RNAcentral. Lineage: Eukaryota; Metazoa; Chordata; Mammalia; Primates; Hominidae.
GCCUCCCCAGAAGCAGAAGCCACUUUGCUUCCAGUACAGCCUGCGGAACGGACUGUGAAUGGAUUUGUCUCACAGACCUUAACAAUUGCUCCCUCAUAUAAUGGUUAUUUAUGUACAUUAUUCAUGUCCCUUGCCAACCAUUCGACUCAUCUGAGGGGUGAUCAGUGUGUGGCACAACUUUCAAGCUUGCCCAGCAUUUCCCAAAGUGCCUGGCACAUUCUAGAUUUGUUACGAACAAAAGGACAGCUGUCCCAGUAUUUGGAGAGGUUGCUUUGUAGGAAUACUUCCUAGCUCCAAAGAAUCUGUCUCAAUUAAUGGUGCACCUGGAAACUGAAGAUGAUUCCUACAUUUUGAUAAAGAAGGUGGUGGGCCAAGGAGAAGAGAGAGAUUUUUUAAAUAUUUCCAUAAAAUUGAGAGCGAAGAGCACAAAGCAAGACCACUCAGGCCUUAGUCCUUGUCCUGUGCUGUGGACUCCAUGCCCUGCCCCAAGCAGUCUCAGGAGCAGACGUGUCAACCUUCCUUCACAGAGGAGUUUAGUCUAUGUUUAGUCUCUUUUUUUGAACUGGAUCUUUUCUAUUAACAUUUAAACAUGUUCAUGCCUCUUUCACCUUAAAAUAAAAGCCCUCACUAUACUUCAGUUGUCCAUCUUUCCCAGUGACUCUAUCGGUAGUUAUGAACAAGAAUGGCAUCGGUGUCACCAAACUGAAGGGAUGUUUUCCAGACCUUAGCUCACUUGGCCUUCAGCACUAUUAAACCCUCUCCAUCACGGACUUCAGAAAACACUCUCUUAUUCUGGCUUCUCAAGACACCGCGCCCUGGGUCUCCUCAGACACCGCGCCCUGGGUCUCCUCAGACACCGCGCCCUGGAUCUCCUCAGACACCGCGCCCUGGGUCUCCUCAGACACCGCGCCCUGGGUCUCCUCCUGCCUCUGCGGUCACAUCUAUGUUUCCUGUGAGUCUCCUUCUGCUCAACCCAGCCAUUAAAUAUGAGCCUCCUCUGUGUGUGGAGCCUUCUCUUUGCACUUGCUACUCUCUCCCUCCUCAUGUCAGCCUUGUCCAUGGCUUUAACUGACACAUAUGUAA